Molecule: ribosomal RNA, 276 nt
Filed under: Triticum aestivum (bread wheat)
Lineage: Eukaryota; Viridiplantae; Streptophyta; Magnoliopsida; Poales; Poaceae
Description: partial small subunit ribosomal RNA
Source: RNAcentral
AUGGACUGUCGUGUGAUCCUUGACAAGUUCGGUUGCUUGAUUCAGGUGCGACAGACGAGCCAGACGGUUGGGACUGGCACCAGGCGUAGGGGGCUCUGGUACAUGGACCAGGAGGUGCAGCCGGACUUGGUGUGUGCUGCGACCAUGGAGGAUAAGGAGAAGCAUGCGAUGAUCCAUCACUGUAGGAUGGGGCAUGUAUCUUUUGAUAAGAUGAGUAGAAUAUUUCCGGAUGUUAUGUGUGGAAUAGGCAAAGGCAAGCUGACAUGUGAUGCUUGU